RNAcentral lists this ribosomal RNA (459 nucleotides) under uncultured bacterium. Its description in RNAcentral is "partial 16S ribosomal RNA". It matches the Rfam family "Bacterial small subunit ribosomal RNA", at positions 338 to 795 of the family's 1533-position model. The record is from RNAcentral.
CCUACGGGAGGCAGCAGUGAGGAAUAUUGGUCAAUGGACGAAAGUCUGAACCAGCCAAGUCGCGUGCGGGAAGACGGCCCUACGGGUUGUAAACCUCUUUUGUCGGGGAGCAAAUCGCGCCACGUGUGUUUCAUUGAGAGUACCCGACGAAAAAGCAUCGGCUAACUCCGUGCCAGCAGCCGCGGUAAUACGGAGGAUUCGAGCGUUAUCCGGAUUUAUUGGGUUUAAAGGGUGCGCAGGCGGAGGUGCAAGUCAGCGGUAAAAUUGCGGGGCUCAACCCCGGACUGCCGUUGAAACUGCCGCCCUAGAGUGCGGGUGCGGUAGGCGGAAUGCGUGGUGUAGCGGUGAAAUGCAUAGAGAUCACGCAGAACUCCGAUUGCGAAGGCAGCAUACCGGAGCGCAACUGACGUUCAUGCACGAAAGCGUGGGUAUCGAACAGGAUUAGAUACCCUUGUAGUC